Molecule: non-coding RNA, 1184 nt
Organism: Momordica charantia (bitter melon)
Lineage: Eukaryota; Viridiplantae; Streptophyta; Magnoliopsida; Cucurbitales; Cucurbitaceae
Source: RefSeq, a predicted model, not a curated record
UUAAAGGAAAAAUAGAUUUUAUUAAUGGAAAUUAACACAUUGGGUUACAUUGAAAAAUCAGCUGCAAAUUCCGAUUGAUGUGGCCCAACCGAAUCUUUGUGAAACUACUUUUAGCUGCACAGAUGUCUUCUAUCCAUGCCGCCACCUCAUUCCUAUUCUAUCCCUUCCCCUGGACCAAAGCAAUUGCCUCUAAGCAAUUAGACAAAAUCACAAGCUUCUGAAAACCCUUUUGCUCUGCCAUUCUCAUCGCCUCUCUAAUUGCUCCCACCUCUGCCACCAAUGGCUCCAGACCCACCUCUAACCGUUUGGCCAUUGCAACUUGAAGUUCGUUAUCGCCAUUCCACACAGCAACACCCACCCCCAACACCGGCGAAGAAGCUGCACACGCCGCAUCCACCAAAACCCGAAGCCAAUAUCUGGGUAAAUUAGUAAGACUAACUUUCGCUGGACCAAUUUCCUUUAAGGGUCGAGCAUCACUCCGCCUCUUGGUUCUCUGAAACGCCUCAAGAUCGCCAAAACAUCACCGCCACCACUUCUAACUCACCUGAUGUCAAAAUGUCGCCCAAACGCUUCCAUAAAGAAAUCAAGGAUUUAGCCAAAACGCCAGCCCAUAUCACCGUGGGGACACACACUUCCCAGAUUUCGCGUGCACGCUUGCAUAACAAUAAGGUAAAAAAAACCUGCUUUGUGAUGGACGAGGAAUCUCUCUCAGCGGAGGAAAAAUAUCAACUCAAUAGAAGCAUCAAGAAGGCUAGGAAGGUGAAAAGAGACCUCGUGUAAGGAGAAGAUUGUCAAGGAGAUUCAUCAAGAGAGACUCUUAGCGGCGGCCAUGAAGGUGGGAAAAGGAAAUUUUCUUUAUCGUGAGAUGGUUAUUGGGGGUUCGAGUGUGAGACAGGAGAAAGUUGACGAAAUCAUGGUAGAGGAAUAGAUUAGUCAUGACGAAGAGGGUUCGAACAGUUCAGAUGAUGUUCAAUUUUCGAAAGAGCAGUGGAGGAAAUUUAAAGCUCCUUGGAGAUCGGACACGACCCAUUCUAGAACACCCACUAGUCUUAGAACGAGUCGCGUUGACCACAGAUCCCGACUAACUACGAAGUCUAUGGUCAACUUCUUCUUAUCCUUGACCUAAACUUUUUCUGAAUAGCUACAUACUAGAAUAAUAAUCUUUACAAAACAGUCAUUCAUAC